GCCCAGGUAGCUCAGUUGGUAGAGCAGAGGAUUGAAAAUCCUCGUGUCGGCGGUUCGAUUCCGUCCCUGGGCA
RNAcentral lists this transfer RNA (73 nucleotides) under Pseudomonadota bacterium. RNAcentral's name for it is "tRNA-Phe". It matches the Rfam family "tRNA". From Rfam's summary of the family: Transfer RNA (tRNA) molecules are approximately 80 nucleotides in length. Their secondary structure includes four short double-helical elements and three loops (D, anti-codon, and T loops). The record is from RNAcentral. RNAcentral also lists the same sequence under 2 other names. Lineage: Bacteria; Pseudomonadati; Pseudomonadota.